RNAcentral lists this transfer RNA (73 nucleotides) under Granulicatella seriolae. Its description in RNAcentral is "tRNA-Lys". It matches the Rfam family "tRNA". From Rfam's summary of the family: Transfer RNA (tRNA) molecules are approximately 80 nucleotides in length. Their secondary structure includes four short double-helical elements and three loops (D, anti-codon, and T loops). Lineage: Bacteria; Bacillati; Bacillota; Bacilli; Lactobacillales; Carnobacteriaceae. The record is from RNAcentral.
GGGCAUUUAGCUCAGUUGGUAGAGCAGCUGACUCUUAAUCAGCGGGUCGGGGGUUCGAACCCCUCAAUGCCCA